ACUGUAAUGCAGCCUCCCCAUAGUGGGGAGCGGGUUGUAAGCCCCUAAUGCAGAACGACAGG
Molecule: non-coding RNA, 62 nt
Filed under: unclassified sequences
Source: RNAcentral